This 332-nucleotide unclassified non-coding RNA is filed under the name soil metagenome. Its description in RNAcentral is "partial contains 5.8S ribosomal RNA, internal transcribed spacer 2, and large subunit ribosomal RNA". The stretch from base 1 to 120 matches the Rfam family "5.8S ribosomal RNA", at positions 35 to 154 of the family's 154-position model. The record is from RNAcentral.
GAUGAAGAACGCAGCAAAAUGCGAUAAGUAAUGUGAAUUGCAGAAUUCAGUGAAUCAUCGAAUCUUUGAACGCACAUUGCGCCCGCCAGUAUCCUGGCGGGCAUGCCUGUUCGAGCGUCAUUUCAACCCUCAAGCACAGCUUGGUGUUGGGACUCGCGUUAAUUCGCGUUCCCCAAAUUGAUUGGCGGUCACGUCGAGCUUCCAUAGCGUAGUAGUAAAACCCUCGUUACUGGUAAUCGUCGCGGCCACGCCGUUAAACCCCAACUUCUGAAUGUUGACCUCGGAUCAGGUAGGAAUACCCGCUGAACUUAAGCAUAUCAAUAAGCGGAGGA